Thiobacillus sp. SCN 63-1177 is the source of this 55-nucleotide non-coding RNA. Lineage: Bacteria; Pseudomonadati; Pseudomonadota; Betaproteobacteria; Nitrosomonadales; Thiobacillaceae. The record is from Rfam.
GUAGAGCGUCGGUCUCCAAAACCGAAGGUUGGGGGUUCGAGACCCUCUUGGCCUG